GCUUGUUGGUAUCUGGGGGCCAUUUUGUGGUUGAUUAUGAGACUUGUUGACCUCAAAAUGCAACUAAACUCAAACUGUGAUCACUGGGCUCUUCUUCCUCCCUCAUCAUCUUCCUCACUGUGUGGGGGGACCACAUGUGUCCCAACUCUGCCACCUUGUUUGAGAGGAAGGUUGCUGACAUCUGCAAUUCUUUCAAGAUGGAGUCCUCAGACACAUUAGGCAAUCCUCUCCCCAGACAACCCUCCCCCUCUCCCCACUCCCCCCAAUCACACAGAUGAGACAAACAGCAGGAGGACUCGGUGACUGAAGCAUGAUGUCAGAGGAAAGGGAAUAUUCACACUGCAUUUUGCUCCAGAGCUGAACCUCUCUGGGGUCAAACCCCUAUCAUCUGGAGGCCUGGAUGGGUGACCUCGCUCUUCUGAACCAUUUUUGGCUGACAGUGAAACAUGACCUCUGCUGACCUCAUCUGGACACAGGAGGCUACUCCCCCACAUCAUCAUAGUCCAUCCCACUGGGAGCUGGAGGGCUUUCAGCCAGAACACUCUCCCCUACAGGGAUGGAUCAGGAGACAGACAGACACAGUCAGGGAAAGGCUCAUUUUCAGCAAAUACCUGCUGUGAUCUUGUAAUUCUAUACUGAAAGAAAAAGUUACAAUCAAAAUAUUUUCAUAGGGUCAUGUCUACACUAAAAUGUCUACUUUCAGAAAAGUUUGCAGGUGGAAUGGAAUGUGCAUAUUCUCAUAAUUGCCCAUGAAGCAAUCUGAAUUCCAAGAACCAGUAUAUUAAAUAUAAUGGGAUGGAUUGAUGAAUUCUUAUUAAACCAUAAAAGCUUGUAGUUA
Long non-coding RNA from Anguilla rostrata (American eel), 838 nucleotides. RefSeq lists it as uncharacterized. NCBI's taxonomy places the organism in Eukaryota, Metazoa, Chordata, Actinopteri, Anguilliformes, Anguillidae. The record is from RefSeq and is a predicted model, not a curated record. The transcript has 3 exons.